This is a long non-coding RNA of Lotus japonicus, 579 nucleotides long. RefSeq lists it as uncharacterized. The record is from RefSeq and is a predicted model, not a curated record. The transcript has 2 exons. NCBI's taxonomy places the organism in Eukaryota, Viridiplantae, Streptophyta, Magnoliopsida, Fabales, Fabaceae.
GAAGGCCACUUUCUUUUCAUUGACACAUAUUGGAGAAAUGAAUUUCAAGGCUUUCCUCAUUCUAGUUAUGUUCUUGGCUUCUAGUCUUCUGAUCUCGGCUAGGGUUGCACCAGAAGACAUAAAGGACAAGUUUAAAAAAAAUGUGAAUGCGCCGAUGGAUGAAAGCAAAUUUUAUGGACACGACGACGAUCCUAAUGUCGACUAUGGCCCAAGGUGUUCAGAUUAUGAAUGCUGUUAUGGUUGCUGUGCGUUGGUCGCUCGAACCUGUAAAAGGUGUUGCAGUAGUUAGGGUGUUAAAUUUGAAAUCUCAAACACCGAAUUUGGCACCCCAUUUUAAUGUAGUAAUUUUCUUAAAUACCCGUUCAUUUUUACUUUUCCGGUGUUAAAACCCGGAUGAUAUCUUCAAUAUACCGAGUUAUAAAACUCAGAAUGUAUUUUAUUUUAGUAUCUAAGAUUUAAAACUCGGAAUAUACCGAUUUUAAAUCAGGUUUGUAUAAUUUGUUGAUGCUUUAAAAUUUUGAAAUUGUUAACUGAUGCUGGUUGGGGAAUAAAAUAGCAUCCAUGCACAUAAAGCUUCAA